Molecule: ribosomal RNA, 526 nt
Filed under: Shuttleworthella satelles
Lineage: Bacteria; Bacillati; Bacillota; Clostridia; Lachnospirales; Lachnospiraceae
Description: bacterial SSU rRNA
Rfam family: Bacterial small subunit ribosomal RNA
Source: RNAcentral
GCGACGCCGCGUGAGUGAGGAAGUAUUUCGGUAUGUAAAGCUCUAUCAGCAGGGAAGAAAGAAAUGACGGUACCUGAGUAAGAAGCUCCGGCUAAAUACGUGCCAGCAGCCGCGGUAAUACGUAUGGAGCAAGCGUUAUCCGGAUUUACUGGGUGUAAAGGGAGCGUAGGCGGCAGAGCAAGUCUGAUGUGAAAGCCCGGGGCUCAACCCCGGUAGUGCAUUGGAAACUGUUCAGCUUGAGUGUCGGAGGGGUAAGCGGAAUUCCUGGUGUAGCGGUGAAAUGCGUAGAUAUCAGGAAGAACACCGGAGGCGAAGGCGGCUUACUGGACGAUUACUGACGCUGAGGCUCGAAAGCGUGGGGAGCGAACAGGAUUAGAUACCCUGGUAGUCCACGCCUGUAAACGAUGAAUACUAGGUGUCCGUACCCGAAGGGUAUCGGUGCCGUCCCAAACGCAUUAAGUAUUCCACCUGGGGAAUACGUUCGCAAGAAUGAAACUCAAAGGAAUUGACGGGGACCCGCACAAGC